GAUGAACGCUAGCAGGAGGCUUAAUACAUGCAAGUCGAGCGGGAUCCACCUUUCGGGGUGGUGAGAGCGGCGCACGGGUGAGUAACGCGUACACGACCUACCUCUGACAAGGGGAUAGCCCUGGGAAACUGGGAUUAGUACCCCUAUACGAUUCCGGAUAAUAAAGGUCUGGAAUGAAAGCUCCGGCGGUCAGAGAUGGGUNUGCGUCUGAUUAGCUAGUUGGUAGGGUAACGGCCUACCAAGGCGAUGAUCAGUAGGGGGCGUGAGAGCGUGGUCCCCCACACGGGUACUGAGACACGGACCCGACUCCUACGGGA
RNAcentral lists this ribosomal RNA (317 nucleotides) under uncultured bacterium. RNAcentral's name for it is "bacterial SSU rRNA". It matches the Rfam family "Bacterial small subunit ribosomal RNA", at positions 28 to 346 of the family's 1533-position model. The record is from RNAcentral.